AGAGUUUGAUCCUGGCUCAGAGCGAACGCUUGCGGCGUGGAUUAGGCAUGCAAGUCGAACGGGAUCCACUUGGAUCAAUUCUUCGAAGAGAACCUUGUGGUGAGAGUGGCGAACGGGUGAGGAACACGUGGGCAAUUUGCCCCUAAGUUCGGGAUAGCCUCGGGAAACCGGGAUUAAUACUGGAUGUGAUCGUCCAUCGCAUGGUGGACUAUUCAAAGGUGGGGAUCCUUCGGGACCUGCCGCUUGGGGAUGAGCCCGCGGCCCAUCAGCUUGUUGGUAGGGUAACGGCCUACCAAGGCUAUAACGGGUAGCUGGUCUGAGAGGAUGGUCAGCCACACUGGGACUGAGACACUGCCCAGACUCCUACGGGAGGCUGCAGUCGAGAAUCAUUCGCAAUGCACGAAAGUGUGACGAUGCGACGCCGCGUGGAGGAUGACGGCCUUCGGGUUGUAAACUCCUGUCAUGAGGGAACAAUGGCGUGGGUGUGAAUAGCGCUCAUGUUUGAUGGUACCUCAAAAGGAAGCCACGGCUAACUCUGUGCCAGCAGCCGCGGUAAUACAGAGGUGGCGAGCGUUGCUCGGAUUUACUGGGCGUAAAGGGUGCGUAGGCGGCGUGGUAUGUCGGAUGUGAAAUCUCACCGUUCAACGGUGAAACUGCAUUCGAAACUGCCGCGCUUGAGUCCAGGAGGGGAGAGCGGAAUUCUCGGUGUAGCGGUGAAAUGCGUAGAUAUCGAGAGGAACGCCGGUGGCGAAGGCGGCUCUCUGGACUGGUACUGACGCUGAGGCACGAAAGCUGGGGGAGCGAACAGGAUUAGAUACCCUGGUAGUCCCAGCUGUAAACGUUGUGCACUUGGUGUGGGCGGCUUUGUCCCCGUCCGUGCCGUAGCUAACGCGUUAAGUGCACCGCCUGGGGAGUACGGCCGCAAGGCUAAAACUCAAAGGAAUUGACGGGGGCCCGCGCAAGCGGUGGAGCAUGUGGCUUAAUUCGAUGCAACGCGAAGAACCUUACCUGGGCUUGACAUCCAACUGCACGCCUUGUGAAAGCAGGGAAGCCUUCGAGGGUGUUGGACAGGUGCUGCAUGGCUGUCGUCAGCUCGUGCCGUGAGGUGUUGGGUUAAGUCCCGCAACGAGCGCAACCCUUGUGACUAGUUGCCACUUGGUCAGAAAUGGCCGAAGCACUCUAGUCAGACUGCCCGUUACAAGCGGGAGGAAGGUGGGGAUGACGUCAAGUCAGUAUGGCCCUUAUGUCCAGGGCUGCACACGUGCUACAACGGACGGUACAGUGCGAAGCAAGACCGCGAGGUGGAGCAAAUCGCCAAAACCGUCCGCAGUUCGGAUUGGAGUCUGCAACUCGACUCCAUGAAGCCGGAAUCGCUAGUAAAGGCGUAUCAGCUACGACGCCUUGAAUACGUUCCCGGGCCUUGUACACACCGCCCGUCACAUC
Molecule: ribosomal RNA, 1443 nt
Filed under: metagenome
Description: bacterial SSU rRNA
Rfam family: Bacterial small subunit ribosomal RNA
Source: RNAcentral